Molecule: ribosomal RNA, 463 nt
Filed under: uncultured bacterium
Lineage: Bacteria
Description: bacterial SSU rRNA
Rfam family: Bacterial small subunit ribosomal RNA
Source: RNAcentral
UGAACGCUGGCGGCGUGCUUAACACAUGCAAGUCGAACGGUGAAGGAGAGCUUGCUCUCCGGAUCAGUGGCGAACGGGUGAGUAACACGUGAGCAAUCUGCCCCUGACUCUGGGAUAACAGUUGGAAAUAGCUGCUAAUACCGGAUACGAGCUGCGAAGGCAUCUUCAGCAGCUGGAAAGAACUUCGGUCAGGGAUGAGCUCGCGGCCUAUCAGCUAGUUGGUGAGGUAAUGGCUCACCAAGGCGUCGACGGGUAGCCGGCCUGAGAGGGUGACCGGCCACACUGGGACUGAGACACGGCCCAGACUCCUACGGGAGGCAGCAGUGGGGAAUAUUGCACAAUGGGCGCAAGCCUGAUGCAGCAACGCCGCGUGAGGGACGACGGCCUUCGGGUUGUAAACCUCUUUUAGCAAGGAAGAAGCGAAAGUGACGGUACUUGCAGAAAAAGCGCCGGCUAACUACGU